Molecule: ribosomal RNA, 501 nt
Filed under: Bombus ternarius
Lineage: Eukaryota; Metazoa; Arthropoda; Insecta; Hymenoptera; Apidae
Description: partial 16S ribosomal RNA
Rfam family: Bacterial large subunit ribosomal RNA (bases 378-501)
Source: RNAcentral
GGCUUAUUGAUUUUAAUUUUAAGUCUAUCUGCCCAGUGAUUUAAUUAUUUAAUGGCUGCAGUAUAAUUGACUGUACAAAGGUAGCAUAAUCAAUUGUUUUUUAAUUAAAAACUAGAAUGAAAGAAUUAAUGAGAUAUAUACUGUCUCAUAUAUAUAUAAUUAAUUUAAAUUUUUAGUAAAAAUGCUAAAAUAUAUUUAUGGGACGAUAAGACCCUAUAGAAUUUUAUAUUUAUAUAUAUUAGAUUUUAAAUUUUUUAAAUAUAAAUAUUUAAUUGGGAGGAUUAGUAAAUUUAUAAAACUUUAUUUUAAAUAUAAACUUCAAUUAAAGAAUAAUUAAUGAUCUUGUAUUAUAAAUUAAAAGAAUAAAUUACCUUAGGGAUAACAGCGUAAUAUCUUUUUAAAGAUCAUAUUAAUAAAGAUGAUUGCGACCUCGAUGUUGAAUUAAGAUAAAUUUUAAAUGCAGAAGUUUAAUAAUUAAGUCUGUUCGACUUUUAAAAUCUU